Molecule: long non-coding RNA, 1604 nt
Organism: Gadus morhua (Atlantic cod)
Lineage: Eukaryota; Metazoa; Chordata; Actinopteri; Gadiformes; Gadidae
Source: Ensembl
GCAGCCCAAAAUGUAUUGUAUGUUAUUUCAUUCAGUGUCCAAUAAAGACAAGCUGACAGGGCAGGUCAGCGUGAGAGCCUUGUGCUACAGGUCGAUGAGGAAGAGCGAGGCAUCACACAGUUUGAGUGUAGGCAGGAUGCUGUGUUCAUCCCUGUUCAGUGGGGUUUGUUCGGUUGAGCAGUAGCCAAGUGUAGUCCUCAAGGGCCACCAACUUGAAUGUUUUUCAUGCCUCCCUUUUUUCCGCACACAAUUUAAUUUAGUCAAGGUAAUGAGUACAAGACUACAACUUUUCAAUAUUCAAGAUAUUUAUUGUCGUUUGCAAAGCAGAAGUACAGGUACAGUGGAAUAAUUGUGUGAUUCUUGGAGUCCGCUUUAAAAACAAACACAUAUUUAUUUUAAGAGGGAGAGAAUAUAACAGUAAGCAUUCAGGAUGGUAGGCUUUUUCUAGCACAGUUCAAGUGCUUACCUUCAUAAGAACCAAUUGGUUUUUUACACCCAUGAUGCUGAAGUUAUAAUUUCUAAUGAUUUACCUUUUUCUCUUAGAUCAAGCUUUGUGAUUCAUCCCCAGUGAUGCUAAGUCACCACCGCUGCUCCUGUGUGGCUGGCACUGUUCUGUGCAACAAUUUAGCAGCAUUAUUGUUUCAGACAGCACACUAUUCAUCGUUGAAGCUUCCUGUCGUGCCCCCUGUGCAUAGCUGUACGGAGUCGGAGCAGCAAUGGCACAAGCCGCGAACAAUGGUAAGUUAAACCUUAAUUACAUUUUUUAAUAGUCUUGAUUUAAAGUGACUCCUCCAUCGAACAUUUAUUUUCUCAGGGAGUAAAGCCUGGACCAGUAAAUGCCAUGGUUUUUACCAAACCUGUCCCAAAUCGGAUGGUCCAGACUGGAGUUAGGUAAUUGGCUUUGUUAAAUGUAGUUCCCUGUGUUGCAAAUACAUGUUGCAAUUUGUUAAUUUCUUUGUAGGAGUGGAUUCUACAGAGGCAUGGUUGGAGAAUUGCCAGAUCCCUGCCUACUUCGCGUAGAGGAGGCCUAUGCAAAAUUUAACCUGGAGGACAAGCCUCUUGUUUCUACAAUGAACAUGGGACCUGGCAAGCCCAUGGUAGAAACAGCCUUUGGCCUAAGUCACCUCACUUUAACCUGUAUUGUGACUUGGGCCAGUACGCAACGGUUGCUCUACCGGAUGGUACCGUAACUAAUCCCUGGCACUCGGCUGACAGGUUUGUUUAGUUUCCUCUUUGGGUGCAUUUUAAUAACUGCCCCAACUUCCUAUAAGACGACCUGAUGUGUCUGGAUAUCCAAUGCCCUAAUGUGGUCUCUGUGCUCUUUCUUUUUAGAGUAGUGUUCCUGUCGGGGCUGUAUCAUUGGGAGGCGCUGUUUGGUGGUUUGCUGUGCACUUGCCUGCAGAUAAGUAGGGUGUUACCUGCUCAAUUCAUACAUUUUUACAAUUGUUUAAUAGUAAUUUUGUUCUAGGACCAGCAUUGGUGGAGCUGGAGACGGUCACAUUCUGGCGCUGUCCCAUUUUCCUCUCAUAGAAUAACUAAUGACUUUUUUCAACUAUUUAAAAAUAAACUUUUGUAGACUUUAACUGGCAACACGUCUCUGUAAG